AAACUAAUUUCGAUAUGAUUAGAAUAAGGAAUGAGGCUGGUAUGCUUCUGGAAGUACGACUUUUGAAUCGACGAUCAGUUCUGUUAAACUUGAUAUUCAAGUAUCUAGAAAAUAAAUUUCGUGAUUUUUCGAUAUCAUUUGCCUAGUGAUUGAAAGGGCUCAAAAUCAAUAAUUUUAAUGACCGUAGUGAGCCGUUUGCAAGUUUAACGGUGUAGAAAUAUUCAAAUCACAAGAAAUUUUAAUAGAAAAUUCUUUAUACUGUAUAAAAUGAGAGCAAUAUCUUUGAUUUAAAAUUUUAAUAUCAUAUCAUCAUAUUUUGUAAUAUUUUUAUUUCUAGCCGUUAAUUUUGAGCUCUUUCGAUCACUAGGCAAAUUAUAUAUUUCAAAUACUUUAGACCAAAUCUAACGGAGCUGAUGUCGAUUCGGAUGUCCUAAUAUCGAAAUCGACUUGAAAGUACGAAGAACUCCGUACUUUCAUAAGCAUGCUAGCUUCACUCUUGAGUAAGUAUAUUACAUCUAAUUAUAAUUUAUUUAUUUUACUCAGGCAAUAUUACAUCUAUU
Molecule: long non-coding RNA, 560 nt
Filed under: Ananas comosus (pineapple)
Lineage: Eukaryota; Viridiplantae; Streptophyta; Magnoliopsida; Poales; Bromeliaceae
Description: long non-coding RNA (ACOM_LNC018577)
Source: RNAcentral